RNAcentral lists this ribosomal RNA (496 nucleotides) under uncultured bacterium. Its description in RNAcentral is "partial 16S ribosomal RNA". It matches the Rfam family "Bacterial small subunit ribosomal RNA", at positions 29 to 507 of the family's 1533-position model. The record is from RNAcentral.
AUGAACGCUGGCGGCGUGCCUAAUACAUGCAAGUCGAGCGAACAGACGAGGAGCUUGCUCCUCUGACGUUAGCGGCGGACGGGUGAGUAACACGUGGAUAACCUACCUAUAAGACUGGGAUAACUUCGGGAAACCGGAGCUAAUACCGGAUAAUAUAUUGAACCGCAUGGUUCAAUAGUGAAAGACGGUUUUGCUGUCACUUAUAGAUGGAUCCGCGCCGCAUUAGCUAGUUGGUAAGGUAACGGCUUACCAAGGCAACGAUGCGUAGCCGACCUGAGAGGGUGAUAGCCCACACUGGAACAGAGCCACGGUCCAGACUCCUGCGGGAGGCAGCAGUAGGGAAUCUUCCGCAAUGGGCGAGAGCCUGACGGAGCAACGCCGCGUGAGUGAUGAAGGUCUUCGGAUCGUAAAACUCUGUUAUUAGGGAAGAACAAAUGUGUAAGUAACUAUGCACGUCUUGACGGUACCUAAUCAGAAAGCCACGGCUAACUACGUG